CAUGGACCUGUCACCACCCCAGAGGCUAACAAUUGCGAAAGCAAGGAGUGAGUGUAUGCAGGGAUUGAGUUAACAUUGGCUUAUGUUGAGCUGAGCACAAUUUGAUAGAGACAGUGGUAAGCAUUGUAAACUGACGCGUGGGAACCGUAAUAUAUCCUCCGUCCUCCUAGAGGUUCCUUUCUUUUGACAAAAGGAGAUAUAUUGCAAAGGUCAUAUUUCUUUCUAAUUCUCCAGGCGACCCUUAACUCUUUCGAUGAAUGAAACUGGGGAAAAACUAUUUUAAGUUCGGAAGGCUUUAGGAGGUAAUGUUAGUGGACAAGGGUUUUCCAAGGAGGAUGGUUAUGGAUGUCAAAGAAAGGAGGACAAGUGGAAGUGAUGGAGAGAUUACCAGAAGAAAGGACACAAUCGAAUUAAAGACAGGUUGCAGCACUCAGAUAAGGUGAGAGGAGGAAAAGCAAUCACAUUCUUGAUUACUCGUUUCAUUCAAUUUAG
This 492-nucleotide long non-coding RNA is filed under the name Olea europaea subsp. europaea. The record is from RNAcentral. Lineage: Eukaryota; Viridiplantae; Streptophyta; Magnoliopsida; Lamiales; Oleaceae.